UGGGGAAUUUUGGACAAUGGGCGCAAGCCUGAUCCAGCCAUUCCGCGUGCAGGAUGAAGGCCCUCGGGUUGUAAACUGCUUUUGGACGGAACGAAAAGCCGCUUUCUAAUACAGAGCGGUCAUGACGGUAACGUCAGAAUAAGCACCGGCUAACUACGUGCCAGCAGCCGCGGUAAUACGUAGGGUGCAAGCGUUAAUCGGAAUUACUGGGCGUAAAGCGUGCGCAGGCGGUUAUGCAAGACAGAUGUGAAAUCCCCGGGCUCAACCUGGGAACUGCAUUUGUGACUGCAUAGCUAGAGUACGGUAGAGGGGGAUGGAAUUCCGCGUGUAGCAGUGAAAUGCGUAGAUAUGCGGAGGAACACCGAUGGCGAAGGCAAUCCCCUGGACCUGUACUGACGCUCAUGCACGAAAGCGUGGGGAGCAAA
RNAcentral lists this ribosomal RNA (425 nucleotides) under uncultured bacterium. RNAcentral's name for it is "bacterial SSU rRNA". It matches the Rfam family "Bacterial small subunit ribosomal RNA", at positions 355 to 772 of the family's 1533-position model. The record is from RNAcentral.